UUAAAUGUCAGUUAUUGUGGGUCACAUAAAUUGUUUUGUCAAAAGGCGAACCAAAUUACCUUACACUAUUCACCAGCCGUGAUGUUUGCUGUUUGGAUUUUUCCAAAGAAAUAUUUGCAAGAUAUAUUUAGAAGUAGGGGCAAUUGCUUAUAUACCCAUGAAAAGUUCUCGAUUUUCUAAUUUACCCUUUUCAGAAGGCUAAUAUUAAAAACAUCUUUUUUACGUUCCACGUUAUUUUAAAUAUACCCCUAGAGUUAAGUAUACCCUUUUCUAUUAGUGAGCUAUUGGCAAUAGUCGUCAUCUCUGUAAAAUUACUAUUUUGCUCUUUCUAAUAUACCCUUCUACAAUCACUAAUUUUUCUUAUUUGCCCUUUAGCUAGGGGCAAAAGAAGAAAUUUGAUUUUUUUGUUUUUUCAAAUAUAUCCUUCUAUCAUCAUCAACUUUACUUAUUUGCUCUUAAGUUCAGGGCAAAAGAGAUAUUUUGAUAUUUUUUUUUAACUCUGAUAGACAUUUAACUCACGUUCAACCCGAAAUAACUUUAGGGGCGAUAAGUGUAGGGGUAAUUUUGAAUAACGGAGGAACAUAUGAGGGAUAUUGAAAGAAGGGCAAAAGAGCAUACCCUCUUGGGUUCUAUUGAUGAAACUAUAUAAUACAAGAGAUAAGUCUACUAUAGUAACAAUAUAACUAGGAUUAUAUACCAUAUAAUCCUAUAUCAUACCAUAUAUCCUACUCUAAAUAUGUUGUAUAAUAUAGCAUAAGAUACUAAAUAUAUCUUAACAUCUCCCCGCAAGCUAAGCAUCUG
Molecule: long non-coding RNA, 801 nt
Filed under: Ananas comosus (pineapple)
Lineage: Eukaryota; Viridiplantae; Streptophyta; Magnoliopsida; Poales; Bromeliaceae
Description: long non-coding RNA (ACOM_LNC019646)
Source: RNAcentral